GAUGAACGCUGGCGGCGUGCCUUAUACAUGCAAGUCGAGUGGGUUUAGACCCACGGCAACCGGGUGAGUAACACGUAGGUACUUUCCUUGUCACAGGAAUAACCCUCCGAAAGGAGGGCUAAUACCUGAUGUGAUCGCAAGAUUAAAGGGUAUCCGCAAGGAUUACCGGACAAGAAGAGGCCUGCGGCCUAUCAGCUAGUUGGCGGGGUAAAUGCCCACCAAGGCUAUGACGGGUAGCUGGUCUUAUGAGGAUGAUCAGUCACAUGGGCACUGAGACACGGGCCCAACUCCUACGGGAGGCAGCAGUAGGGAAUUUUGCGCAAUGGGCGAAAGCCUGACGCAGCGACGCCGCGUGCGGGAUGAAGGCCUUCGGGUCGUACCGCUUUUAUAAGGGACGAACUUUGACGGUACCUUAUGAAUAAGAGGUUGCUAACUCUGUG
Molecule: ribosomal RNA, 440 nt
Filed under: uncultured bacterium
Lineage: Bacteria
Description: partial 16S ribosomal RNA
Rfam family: Bacterial small subunit ribosomal RNA
Source: RNAcentral